This 253-nucleotide ribosomal RNA is filed under the name uncultured bacterium. RNAcentral's name for it is "partial 16S ribosomal RNA". It matches the Rfam family "Bacterial small subunit ribosomal RNA", at positions 524 to 776 of the family's 1533-position model. The record is from RNAcentral.
GACGAACCACACAAACGUUAUUCGGCAUUACUGGGCUUAAAGGGUGCGUAGGCGGCGCAGAAAGUAGGGUGUGAAAUCCCUCGGCUCAACCGAGGAACUGCGCCCUAAACUACUGUGCUCGAGGGAGGUAGAGGUGAGCGGAACUUAGGGUGGAGCGGUGAAAUGCGUUGAUAUCCUAAGGAACACCGGUGGCGAAAGCGGCUCACUGGACCUCUUCUGACGCUGAGGCACGAAAGCUAGGGUAGCGAACGGG